UGCCAUCAAGCUCCUCAGAGAAGGGAUGGA
This 30-nucleotide non-coding RNA is filed under the name Homo sapiens (human). Lineage: Eukaryota; Metazoa; Chordata; Mammalia; Primates; Hominidae. The record is from RNAcentral.